UACAACAAGAUUUAUUAGACCAACGUGGUCUUACAAGCAGAACCCUUGUUACAAAGCUAAAUAACAUAAGCACAAGUAAUAACAAAAGCACAAGCAAUAACAAAUGGCUCGGUCAUUAACAGCAGAUGCAAAUGGACUUGAAGUCCGGAGCCCACGAACCUGAUAACCAAAAGACAAUAAAAGGAAACUACAGUACCAUCUCUCUCCAUGUCCUAGGCUCGAACCCCGAUCAUCCAAGGGAUGAACCCCGACUGUUCCACGGAAAGAACCCCGACGCCGCAACGAGGAUGGUUCUGGACUCCUGGACAGAACCAAUGAAAACUGGAAACGCUGGACCACCGGAACGCUGGAACAGGAUGCGACAAUCACCAGAAAGCAUCCCACCCCACCUGAAAGACGAGACCCCCUUGAUACCAGACGGGCUACCACUGGAGUUUACAACUGGCAACUCCCUACAUCCGGAUUGAGAAACCAUCAACAACAGGACUAAAGACUCUUAUUGUUGUUCUGCUCUCGCCCCCAGAAAGAGGAGUCGUGUGAGUGGACUGCGGCCAUCAGCUGAGUGUGCAGCUCAGCGCAUAGGUCAGGAGGGAGAUAAAAACUCCA
This 606-nucleotide long non-coding RNA is filed under the name Chrysemys picta bellii (western painted turtle). RNAcentral's name for it is "lncRNA (ENSCPBG00000021138.1)". Lineage: Eukaryota; Metazoa; Chordata; Testudines; Emydidae. The record is from RNAcentral.